GGCACGUAGCGGAUCAGAAAGUUUAGGGUUAUCCCAGGGCUCACCCUGAACUGCCUCUAAAACUCUUGUUCUAAAGUUCAAAAAAGGUAGUGAAUUCCGAGUGUAAAGGUGAAUUUCGGUAGAAUUUCGGAAGGAACACCAGUGGCGAAGCGGGCUCACUGGCUUCGAAUACUGACCGCUUAAGGUGCGAAAAAGUGUGGGAACCAACCAGGAUUAGAUACCUUGGUAGUCCACACCGUAACCAAUAAAUGCCAGACGUCGGGGUAGCAUGCUAUUCGGUGUCACACUUACCAGAUUAAGCAUUCCGCUUGGGAAGUACGGUUCGCAAGAUUAAAACUCAAAGAAUUGACGGGGGGCCCGCACAAGCGGUGGAGCAUGUGGUUUAAUUCGAAGCAACGCGCAGAACCUUACCAACCCUUGACAUCCUUGGACCGCUGGAGAGAUUCAGUUUCCUCGCAAGAGGCCAAGUGACAGGUGCUGCAUGGCUGUCGUCAGCUCGUGUCGUGAGAUGUUCGGUUAAGUCCGGCAACGAGCGCAACCCACAUCUUUAGUUGCCAGCAGUUCGGCUGGGCACUCUAAGGAAACUGCCCGUGAUAAGCGGGAGGAAGGUGUGGAUGACGUCAAGUCCUCAUGGCCCUUACGGGUUGGGCUACACACGUGCUACAAUGGCAUCUACAGUGAGUUAAUCUCCAAAAGAUGUCUCAGUUCGGAUUGGGGUCUGCAACUCGACCCCAUGAAGGCGGAAUCGCUAGUAAUCGCGGAUCAGCAUGCCGCGGUGAAUACGUUCCCAGGCCUUGUACACACCGCCCGUCACACCAUGGGAGUUGGACUCACCCGAAGGUAGUGCGCUAACCGCAAGGAGGCAGCUAACCACGGUGGGUUCAGCGACUGGGGUGAAGUCGUAACAAGGUAGCC
This 915-nucleotide ribosomal RNA is filed under the name uncultured bacterium. RNAcentral describes it as "bacterial SSU rRNA". It matches the Rfam family "Bacterial small subunit ribosomal RNA", at positions 566 to 1501 of the family's 1533-position model. The record is from RNAcentral.